Molecule: ribosomal RNA, 1521 nt
Filed under: metagenome
Description: bacterial SSU rRNA
Rfam family: Bacterial small subunit ribosomal RNA
Source: RNAcentral
AGAGUUUGAUCAUGGCUCAGAUUGAACGCUGGCGGCAGGCCUAACACAUGCAAGUCGAACGGUAACAGGAAACAGCUUGCUGUUUCGCUGACGAGUGGCGGACGGGUGAGUAAUGUCUGGGAAACUGCCUGAUGGAGGGGGAUAACUACUGGAAACGGUAGCUAAUACCGCAUAACGUCGCAAGACCAAAGAGGGGGACCUUCGGGCCUCUUGCCAUCAGAUGUGCCCAGAUGGGAUUAGCUAGUAGGUGGGGUAACGGCUCACCUAGGCGACGAUCCCUAGCUGGUCUGAGAGGAUGACCAGCCACACUGGAACUGAGACACGGUCCAGACUCCUACGGGAGGCAGCAGUGGGGAAUAUUGCACAAUGGGCGCAAGCCUGAUGCAGCCAUGCCGCGUGUAUGAAGAAGGCCUUCGGGUUGUAAAGUACUUUCAGCGGGGAGGAAGGGAGUAAAGUUAAUACCUUUGCUCAUUGACGUUACCCGCAGAAGAAGCACCGGCUAACUCCGUGCCAGCAGCCGCGGUAAUACGGAGGGUGCAAGCGUUAAUCGGAAUUACUGGGCGUAAAGCGCACGCAGGCGGUUUGUUAAGUCAGAUGUGAAAUCCCCGGGCUCAACCUGGGAACUGCAUCUGAUACUGGCAAGCUUGAGUCUCGUAGAGGGGGGUAGAAUUCCAGGUGUAGCGGUGAAAUGCGUAGAGAUCUGGAGGAAUACCGGUGGCGAAGGCGGCCCCCUGGACGAAGACUGACGCUCAGGUGCGAAAGCGUGGGGAGCAAACAGGAUUAGAUACCCUGGUAGUCCACGCCGUAAACGAUGUCGACUUGGAGGUUGUGCCCUUGAGGCGUGGCUUCCGGAGCUAACGCGUUAAGUCGACCGCCUGGGGAGUACGGCCGCAAGGUUAAACUCAAAUGAAUUGACGGGGGCCCGCACAAGCGGUGGAGCAUGUGGUUUAAUUCGAUGCAACGCGAAGAACCUUACCUGGUCUUGACAUCCACGGAAGUUUUCAGAGAUGAGAAUGUGCCUUCGGGAACCGUGAGACAGGUGCUGCAUGGCUGUCGUCAGCUCGUGUUGUGAAAUGUUGGGUUAAGUCCCGCAACGAGCGCAACCCUUAUCCUUUGUUGCCAGCGGUCCGGCCGGGAACUCAAAGGAGACUGCCAGUGAUAAACUGGAGGAAGGUGGGGAUGACGUCAAGUCAUCAUGGCCCUUACGACCAGGGCUACACACGUGCUACAAUGGCGCAUACAAAGAGAAGCGACCUCGCGAGAGCAAGCGGACCUCAUAAAGUGCGUCGUAGUCCGGAUUGGAGUCUGCAACUCGACUCCAUGAAGUCGGAAUCGCUAGUAAUCGUGGAUCAGAAUGCCACGGUGAAUACGUUCCCGGGCCUUGUACACACCGCCCGUCACACCAUGGGAGUGGGUUGCAAAAGAAGUAGGUAGCUUAACCUUCGGGAGGGCGCUUACCACUUUGUGAUUCAUGACUGGGGUGAAGUCGUAACAAGGUAACCGUAGGGGAACCUGCGGUUG